GAAUGGAGCGGGAGAUGCUGGUAGGAGAAGUUGCCGAAAGGCAAGCUGGAAUGGCCAGGAGCUGCGCGCCGCCGGCCCCGUCGCACACCGGAGCAGCUGAACUUUGUGGGGUCUGAACAUUUUUCUCCUCUGCGAACGCUCUGGGCAGCGCUGACGGGAGAGCCAGGACGGCACCGCACACCUUGAGCCCGGCCGAACCUGGGGUAGUGCCAAGGGGGGAUUUCUGUCUCUCCAAGGACCAUCGCCUCUGAAAAAAAAAAAAAAAAAAAAAAAGCUGGAGAAGGGCGAUUUAUCUUUCUUUUCCAGAUGACUGAAAAGAUCUACAGGACCCUGUCUCUCUGGUUUUCAUUGGUGAGUAGCAUAAGGGACAGGCAACUGAGGAACAAAAAUGAUAUCGGUCAAAAUCAUUCCAGCACCUGCUUUUUCCUGAGGAACUUCAUGGCCAUAGGGGUUUUCUGUGGGCAUUCCCAGGAGUGAGACCGAGGUACCACAGAUCCUUCCCUACCGGAUCAUGUAAGAAUUUGCAAAUGAGAAACGUACCCCAUCCAGACCUUCUCUGCCCGCUUUGCAGUACAUGGUUUGGUGUAAGCACGGCAAUUCUCACCUCUUUCUCUCCCUUUUAAGUCUCUUGAGCUUGGAGACCUCUUUCCUCAUUGCAAUUAUGAUCAUUUGUAACAUCAGUGCCAUCAAAGAUUGGAGCACUUUCCUUUCCCAAAUCCUCCCCAGCGUUAACAAGACUCUGAACUUGGUACAGCAAGUGGAAGCCACCACCAGCUCGGUGGUAAGUGUCCUCCAGGACCCCGAACAGGACAACUACCUGUCCAAUAGCCAGUCCAUGAACUCCAGCAACUUCACAGCUGGCCUGGACCAUUUGUUCCAGUACUCAUACUCGGACAAUGACCAGCUCUACAAGGAGUACAAACCCCCUCCUCGAGACGCCAUUCCUCUGCCCAAAGCUGUCCUCUACCUCCUCAUGGCAGCCCUGGUGGUGGUGGCAGUGGCGUAUGCCAUCGUCGGGCAUCUCAUCAAGGACCUCAUUUACGACUUUGUAGACUGGAUCUUUGGCCCCAACCCAGAUGACAACAGCAACAAGAGCGACGUCAACUGCAUCAGCAACAGCGUCAACGAGAUGAGCGAGAUGCCCGAGGCGCCGCGGCGCCGCGAGCGCCAGCCCCAGGACGUGGUCAUUGCCAUCAACGAGACUUGUCACCUGCCACAGCAGACGUGACCCACGCACGCCCGGGCCAGGCGGGAUGGAGCAGCAGGAUGGAGCAGAAGGAUGGAGCAGAAGGAUGGAGCAGUGAAACAGUGCAGCAGGACCGGGCAGGGAGAGGAAGGGAUGGGCAAAGCCGGCACCGUGAAGCAAAGCCCUUCUCCCCCUGGUUUUACCAGCCUCUAAGGACCUUGCGGGCGUGGGUGGCAUCACCCCUUCUCCCAGGCUUGUCAGCCCUGUCCUGACGUCUGCCCUUGGGUUUGUGACCCCCUCUUUGUUCCCUGUGAAUAGCAAAAAAGAAAAAGCAAAUGCAAAAUGCACCCACCAGACAAAGCUUGCAAGAGAAAUGAGCUGGAGAGAGGCCGGGCGGUCCUUUGGUAUGUGGCUGUCCAGUGGUGUGGGAAUGGGUGGGGAAAAGGGCAAAGAGGACAAGGAGGCUGCAGAGAAAUGUGGGUGUCUGCAUUUCCGGGGACAGGCCCAGGACACAUCAGGGAGCUGGGAGCUGCAGAAAGGCACAGAAAGGUCAGUAGGGGCCAAAUCCCCCAGUACACUGGUGAUCUGCCUGGGCCGUCGCUCCUGUUUUUAGUUUUGCAGCUCCAGCUCACAGCCCUUUUCAGCAGGUGUGUUCUGUGGCUCUGGGACAGCAGGGUGACAGCCCAAACUUCCCAGGGAGCCUUAUUCUCCAGGCCUGUAGCCAAGCCAGGGCCAUCACAUUCCCUCCACCACAUCUCUGCUUGAGCCCAGCACACCCUGACAGGGAGCAGCCCUGUUGGGUCCAGGUACAACCCCUUUUUCUGAGGAAUGUUGCUGAAGAGGACAGGGACUCAUCUGCAUGAAAUCCAAACUCUUCAUGAGGGAAAAUAGCCCUUGUAUGUCUGCAUCCUUCAGAUUCAUCCCAGCAUGUCCACCUCCUACAUCACCCCCAAACUUCCUGCCACCCCAAGGGGUGCUGCCUCUGUACUGGGGUCAGUCCCUCAUGCACUGAUGGAGCAAGGACACCUCCCUCUUCUCCCUG
RNAcentral lists this long non-coding RNA (2228 nucleotides) under Lonchura striata (white-rumped munia). RNAcentral's name for it is "domestica (Bengalese finch) lncRNA (ENSLSDG00000012698.1)". Lineage: Eukaryota; Metazoa; Chordata; Aves; Passeriformes; Estrildidae. The record is from RNAcentral.